RNAcentral lists this long non-coding RNA (1046 nucleotides) under Mus musculus (house mouse). RNAcentral's name for it is "long non-coding RNA chr6:21512850-21513896". The record is from RNAcentral. Lineage: Eukaryota; Metazoa; Chordata; Mammalia; Rodentia; Muridae.
ACUUUUGGGAUAGCACUGGAAAUGUAAUUGAGGAAAAUAUGUAAUAAAAAAUAUUAAUAUAUAUAUAUAUAUAUAUGAAUUCAUCAUAUAUAUUUACUAGUAUUUUUAAAUUUUUCAUUGGUAUUUCUUAUCUUUUUAAAAUUUAAAUUCCUUCUGCAUUCUUUUAAUAUAUUAAGUAAUAUAUGUGGACAUGCUGUAGAGAUGACUUAGCAAUUAAUAGUUCUUGCUGCUCUUUCAUAGGCUAAGGAUUCAUUUAACAACUACCACAUGGCAACUUACAACCAUCUGUUACUGCAGUUCUAGGGCAUUCAACAUCCUAUUCUGGCACCUGGAGAUACCACAGAUGCUUGAAAUAUAUAUGCAGGUAUGCAGGCAAAAUUUUACAUGCAGAAAAUAAAAUAAAACAUUUUUAAGGUUUAUAUUUUAUUUUUAGAUGUACUAAGAUUAGUAAAACUACAAUUAAAAUCACUUGUCCAACUUCAAUAUGAUAGUUUUGCAUCAUCUUAAUAAAUCAUUUUGUUAUGUUUGUUUUUUAUGUCAUAGAACUUUUUUUUUCAAUGAAAGAUAGAAAGGAAAUAGAUCCUGAAGUGAUGGGGAAGAACUGGGAGGAGUGGGCAUGGGGGAAACUAUUAUUAGGAUAUAUUAUAUAAGGAAAUAAUCUAUCUUUAAUACAAGCAAAAAAGAGUUCAAAGUAAUUAUGAGAGAAGAUAUUUAUCCGUAAGAAUAAAAUUUGAUGAAAAAAUAUUAAAAUGUCUAAAUGGUUGUAAAAUGCUAUGGUUUAUGGGGUGUUUGUGUGUCAAACCUAUGGUCUUCUGUAUUAUAUAGAGAAUUCUACCACUUACAUUUCCAGCCCUUAGAUGUUUAUUUUUAAAUAAAAAUCUAUAUUGCAUAAAGUCAGCUUGAAAUACACACUUUGAAGAACAGCGUCAAGUCAAAAGGACAAAAACAGUAGUGCGUUCAAGCUAAAUGAAAGUAUCAUGUAUUCCUUUGAAGUGACUACCGAACCAAAACAAGCUUAUUAAACCAUCAUAAAGGGAAGGGUGACG